CGGGGCGGGGCCCAGAGGAGCGACGGGACGGCGGCGCGCUCGCUCCGGUUCCUCCUCCGAGCACCGGCAGUAGGUGGCGCGCCCCAGGGUGGCCCUGCCCCUGGUGGAAGAGUCUUGCAGGAGCUGGGCAGGGGCAGGUUCAGGUUAGACCUGCCUUAACGUUUUCCUCAGGCGAAACCAGUUGCAGCCUCGUUGUUUGGCCAAAGCCCCACGCCCUCCCGCCCCGCCCCGAGUGAGCCCCGCUGCGUCCCGUUGCUGCCCUAUCCGGAGGCUGCGCCGUCCCGUUGUCGACGACCCGGCCUGGCGUCCUCCCGGAGGUUUCUGGUCUCAGGUCAGUGGCGCCUGUGUCUCCCAGUGUCCUGCAGCCGCUCACACUGGUUUCUCCCCAGCGCCUCUCCUCUGUCACACUCCGUCUACCUACGUGGUGGGGGCACAGCUGUACCCCAUGUCACAGAGUGGACCCCUAGGCCAGGAGAGGGUACCGGCGGGGAUGUGAACUUGACCUGCACAGGCCACACGCAGCACAUGAACCGGACGCCCUGUGUGAGCCUCACUCCGGCUGAGGACUCCGGCCUCCGCAGGCCUAAGGGUGUGGGGAGUGGCCCCAAACCGGCACCUGGGGUGGGGGGCCAUCUACCUUGCUGGGCGGCCUUGCGCGCCCCUCCACCCACAUCUCCUGGAAGGGCAGCGAAUGUUCAGUCAUUAGGAAACAGGUUUGACUUAUUGACUAGGCUUUUCCAGCAUGUUCUGAGGUCCCUGAAGAUCCUGCUCCAGACCAGGGUCUACGUCUGUAAGGGAAAGACCCCCAUCUUCAUAGACAACGUUUGCCCCAUGGCUCUGCCGGUUCUGACUCCCCAGGGACCGGCUCCUCUCGGGCAGCAGGGUCCCAGCGACAGAAGCCGGUGCAGAGUGGGCCUUGAAGGAGGGCUGCCGGCGAUGCGCUCCAGGCCCCGCGAGAGACGGCGGGCCGGGUAGAGCAGGCCAGCCUGCAUGGGGCGUGGGGCACCAGGUUCCUGCCCUUGCCUGGUGGGCCGAGGCCCGGCCUCCUGCUCCGAGACGGUGGGGGGAUUCAGCUUCCUGGUGACUUGUCCAGAUGAAGGACCCGGGGCGCGGAGGUCAGCCAGGACUGAGGGCGCACCCUUCUUGCUCUGCCCGGACCCUCCUGUGCGGAGAGCAGACUGGGCCCCGAGACUCGCGUCGCCAGAGGAUGAGCUCCCGGACGUCCGGGCCCAGCCAGCCACCGGCCCUGCCUUGUCCGCAGUCCUGGCAUUUCGUAUCUGAGGGACUUGUCACACUCGACCACAUUUCCACUCUGGCCCGAUUUCCUGUUGGUCGUCAAUACAUUGUAUCGAGGGAACGCUAGGAAGCCCACGGAGUGUAGGCUGCGGUUAUAAUCGUAAGAAAAGGGAACUUACUUUGGUAUCAAAAUCACACGACUCCAGGCUGCUGCUUUUGUGCUUUAAUAUUCCGCACUCAAACGAAAGUAUUUCAGGCAACCCUGGGCCCCGGCGCCCCUUCCCUCCACGCACUCAUUUGGUCUGUUUGCAAGUUACCGGAGGAUACAAAAAUAGCCGCUACAAAUCCUCUGUUUCUGGCAUAUAAAAACUGAGCGAAAAGUGUCUCAGCAGUCAUGACCUUAACACAAAACAUCUCAGGAAAAAUACAACACAGGUUUCACUUCUGCAGUGUUGU
Long non-coding RNA from Felis catus (domestic cat), 1692 nucleotides. RefSeq lists it as uncharacterized. The record is from RefSeq and is a predicted model, not a curated record. The transcript has 2 exons. Lineage: Eukaryota; Metazoa; Chordata; Mammalia; Carnivora; Felidae.